This is a long non-coding RNA of Lutra lutra (Eurasian river otter), 2647 nucleotides long. RefSeq lists it as uncharacterized. The transcript is spliced from 3 exons. NCBI's taxonomy places the organism in Eukaryota, Metazoa, Chordata, Mammalia, Carnivora, Mustelidae. The record is from RefSeq and is a predicted model, not a curated record.
CGGGAGAGGGCGGGAAGCCGGAGCGAAGAAAGCAUCUGAAGGCAGCCCCAACCCUUUGGGGACGCUGGAAAGCCUUACUUUCUCAUGACAGGAUUCCAGAGUGGUACCAGAUCUCUUUAAUCUUCAGCAUCAGGGGUCUCUUCUGUUUCCUCAGAACAUACCUUCUUCCUCAGAAUGGAUGAAGUCCCAGCUCCAUUGAGUGUUGUGCAAGUUCUGCCACCUCUGGCCUCAGCUGGAUGCAAACACACAAUCAACCUAUUCUGGCCCCUGCUGAAUCUGCAGAGUCAGGAGGAUGAGCUCUAGUCCCAUGUUCUGAACGGGGCCCUGAUGAUCUCUCGCCAUUUCCUCUAUCCCGUGGUAUGCCCUGGAACUGGACUCUAGCUCCUGGCCUUCAGUCACAUGGGUCCUGCUGUCCACUGCCAGUUUGUCCCACAGUCCUGUCCUGUGCCCGCCCUAUUCCCCCUACCAGUGUACUCUGCCCUUUGUAAUUUCUUGCCACGCUUGCAUGCUAGCUUCCCACCUGGAAGGCAGGUGCUCUAGCGGAAAGGGCAAGGCCAUCGACAUCAAAAGACCUGGAUUGAAGCCUUAGUUCUGCAAUUACGUGUGCGACCUUGGACCAACCAGUCACUUAACCUGAAUUACGAUCUCCUCAUCUGUAGCCUAUGAAAUGAAAUUCCUGCUUGAAAAUUGACCUCUGGGCUCAGAGAAUUUUCCAGUGAAUUUGGUAUACGUCAGUUAUCUGGGGCCUGAUCAAUCUUUGCGAAAAUCAGAUUUCUGAACUUGAGGAAUCAAGGCUCUACAUAAAAGAAGCUGGGGAAGAGAAACCAGAACAGCCAGCUUGCUUUCCCAUCUUCGCGUUGGGAGAACGUUUGGCCAGCUCCUGAAGCCGAGCUAUCCACAUAUCUCAAAAUGACUUCAAGCCUAGAAAGUCCUCGAGUUAGAUGGCUUCUCACAGGCAAGUGCGGUUAGAACCUUUUCCCCAUCUCAUCUCAUUGAGUUUUGGGCAAACUACUCUGAGAAAUUUGUCAGGAAUGGAGAAGAAUCCGAAACUUUCAAAUCUCUGCCUUUCAGUAAUACUUAGGUUGCUUUUCAGUACCAUCUAAAAUAAGGAUAAAGAGUUAUUUUCAUCACUUUAUACUGAUGUGAGUUCAGAAUGAGUUGGAAACAUGUAUGUUAAAAGCAUCCAUAUUAAUGACCUAAAAUAUAAAACAGAAAUUGGCAAGGCCAACCAGAUAAUACUUUUGCUCUUCCUGGAAUGGAAGGUGGCAGUGGAGAAAAGUAGUUUCAGUAAACAUGUCUUGCCUGCGCAGAAAUCCCCAGGGUAGGACGCGGAUCUGAUUAAAUGAGUCAGGCUUACAUUUAUUACGGUAUAUUACGAACAUUUUUCAGCAUUCAGAAGCAACUGGUGUCUCCGUGGAUUUGGCCAGUUCCUGGCAAUUAUGCACUUGGCUGCUAGUAGAAGCCAGCAUGCCAAAUGCCUGGAAUGACGAUCCACGUCUGAGUGGCUUUCAGUCUGGGAAGGAUGUUGUUCAAACACUGCAUUCCUUCCCAAGGUGGCCAAAUCCUGGUUACAGCUCUGUCCUUGAAAUCUAUUUAUCCAGAAACUUGACCGGAAAGGAUAUGGCUACAUCCCUUGCCCCAUUCAGCUUCCGCAGCACACACCUGGCAGACCUUGUGUGGGUUUUACAGGGUCUGUCUGUUGUAUGCCUAGCGCCUUAAUCAGAAAAUCACAUUUGGAACAUAAUGUUUCAGAUGGAUUAUUAGAAAACACUAAUUCUUUUAGAGACUGUGAAAUCUGGAGGCCUGGCCCAAUUCCAAACUAAGUAAUGGCAUUCUUUUUUGAAAUGUCCUUCCAGUUUUAUUCGAACGAGUGGGAACCAACCUGUCCUCCAUGAUUCCUGACCCGCAGUUGUUCUUUGUGCUUCCCCUCCUUUAUUAGGAGGAGAGGCUGUUGCGUGGCGUGGUCUGUACAGCAGUGGAAGCUGGUGCAAACAAACAAACAAACAAACACACUGUUCAGGAAUGUGAGCAAGGACUGUCUUGGCAUAAAUGGCAAGGACUAGAGGACUAGAAUAUGCAUUCUACGAGGCAAGAAUUUUUGUCUUUUUGGUUAAUCAUUGCUAAUGAUAUCUAGACCCACAUCUGGUUCAUGGUACCACUUAGUAAAUAUUUGUUGGAUGAAUAAUGAAUGAAUAUAUAAUUGAUUAUAAGUCCAGCCUCUUCUUAAUUGCACAGUAACUAUCAUAAUGUCCAUUUCUCGUCCAUUUCUUAUUUUCUUUUAUUCUUCUUUUAUAUUCAAUUUAGACAGAAGACAGUUACAGGCAUCUCUCUACUAAAUGGGGCAAACGGAAGGUCAGUAUAGCACCUCGAAAGGGGUCUUGUGUACACGUUCCAGGCUUUUUCACUUAUUUCUGCUUCUCUCCCUCCCCUAGCCUUUCCCACUCUGUUCAAAAAGAGGCCCUCUGCCCCCGGUUCAGCCUGUGGCCUGGCCUGUCUCCAAGGGACAUUUGUCUGUACGUGUAGCAUGACGUGGCCAUGAUGAUGCUUACCUCUUUUGCUCCAGUUCAAACAAGGCAUCCCUUCCACGCAAGACAGACCCCUUUCCUCUGUGGAAUUUUGCAACAUUACUGACUUCCUCUCCUCUGUC